CGCGUAGGCGGUUUGUUUAGUUAGGCGUGAAAUUCCUGGGCUUAACCUGGGGACUGCGCUUAAUACAGGCAGACUUGAGUUCGGAAGAGGGUCGUGGAAUUCCCAGUGUAGAGGUGAAAUUCGUAGAUAUUGGGAAGAACACCGAUGGCGAAGGCGGCGACCUGGUCCGAUACUGACGCUGAGGCGCGAAAGCGUGGGGAGCAAACA
Molecule: ribosomal RNA, 207 nt
Filed under: uncultured bacterium
Lineage: Bacteria
Description: partial 16S ribosomal RNA
Rfam family: Bacterial small subunit ribosomal RNA
Source: RNAcentral